This is an RNA transcript of Zea mays, 1900 nucleotides long. It is a transcript of the gene named Ubiquitin carrier protein, with no coding region annotated. The transcript is spliced from 6 exons. The record is from RefSeq and is marked validated. NCBI's taxonomy places the organism in Eukaryota, Viridiplantae, Streptophyta, Magnoliopsida, Poales, Poaceae.
CCAGUCGGUAGCAGUCAGCAGAGCAGAGAACGCAGGCAGAGGCAGAGCGGCAGCCCGCAGAGCAGGCACCAUACCAGUCAACCACCGCUUCGUUCUCCUCCCACACCGCUCGCCUUCGCCUUCCCAUCUUCUAUCAUCCCCGAGCUCCAGUUCUCCACACCUCACGUCUAUAAAUAAUAAAUAAGGCGCCCGCGGUGCCCAUCAAUUCGUGUCACCGCGUCCCGAGAGCGCAAAUCAUUCCGCGCGACGCAAAAACCCUAGCCCAGCCACCGACCCCUCUCAUGGCAACCACCACCACCCAGGCGAGCCUCCUCCUCCAGAAGCAGCUAAGAGAUCUCGCGAAGCACCCGGUGGAUGGGUUCUCUGCUGGGCUGGUCGACGACAGCAAUGUCUUCGAGUGGCAGGUCACCAUCAUCGGACCGCCUGACACCCUAUAUGAUGGAGGGUACUUCAAUGCAAUAAUGAGCUUCCCACAAAAUUACCCAAACAGCCCGCCAUCAGUCAGAUUUACCUCUGAAAUGUGGCAUCCAAAUGUCUAUCCUGAUGGGCGGGUUUGUAUCUCUAUUCUUCAUCCACCUGGUGAAGAUCCAAACGGUUAUGAGCUCGCAAGUGAGCGAUGGACACCUGUGCACACAGUAGAAAGCAUAGUUCUGAGCAUUAUAUCAAUGCUCUCUAGUCCAAAUGAUGAGUCUCCAGCAAACAUUGAGGCAGCUGUAAGUUCACCUACCAAUUUAUUUUAUACUGAUUUUGUUUACUGGACCUCUACUUAUGGGCUGCUACAAUAUCAAAUACUUCAUGUCUGUGUCAUGUUGUAUCUGCUACCAAUUCGUAAUUGUAAAAUGAUAACAACAUCAUCUGUGUUACAACUAGAUAGCAUGCUAGUAUUAAAGAAGAAAUCAGUGCCGAGAUGUCUUAAACAAAGUACCUUAGUGCCAUUAUUGGUAGGGAUGAAAACGGUUUCGGAGUUUUUCCGAAUUCCGGAAACCGUUUACGAUUUUUUUCCGAUCGGGUUCGCCGGUAACGGUUUUUCUCGGAAACGGAAUCGGUAUUUGGAGUUUUAUAUCGGUAUCGAAAUCGAUACAUCGUUUUACUAACGUUUUCUUCGGUUACCGAUUUUGAUCGGAAUUUACCGAAAUUUCAUAUCGGAAUUUACUAGAAAUGAAAUGGACCCAUAAACAAUAUACAACCCAAUAGGUCAUUGGUGCCCUAGCGGCCUAGCCCACUCGGCCUGUCGGUUACUCCAAGUUGGACUCUCACAGCCGCUGUGCGUCGUCGUCUGUCAGCCUCCUAGGCUCCCAGCCGCCGCACGCCAGCUCUUGCGACGUCGCGAGAGCGAGCUCGCGUGACGCGCCACGACGCCAGCAGCUGCCCGCUGGCCGCCGAGCCCUGCCUCCACCUCGCCGUCGUCCAUCUCCGGGGCUCUCCCUCCACCUCACCGAGUCGUCGUCCUUCACAGCAGAAGGAAUGGAGGGAACAGAGGGAGGAUUUCAAGAAAAAGGUUAGGCGCAUCGUGCGGAAAUCACAGGAAAUGUUCUGAAGGAAAUGGGAGUCCUGGCGAAGUUAACCAUGCCAUCUCAGGCUGCAGGAUUUUGCUGCCAACCUCAAAGUGCUCAUCUGACACCAGCGUCUUGUGUAUUUUCCAUUUAUCGUCUGUUCAUUGGUGACAAUUGCCUCCAGAAAUGCAUUGGGACGUGGUCGGCUUGAAGGUUCUGUUUGUGUCGUGUGGCUUGCGCUCUACUAAUGUUUGGCAAACCUGAAGUGGUACCGGUUAUCGUAAAUUUGGUGGUGAACCUGGCAUAAGCAGGCACCAUUCAUGUCAUCUAGCCGUUUUGAAAACAUAUCAGGCCUUGUUCGUUUCUUAUCAAAAUCAAUUGGUUGGAGGAAAUUAAGGCUUUAUUUA